Molecule: transfer RNA, 61 nt
Filed under: Huananpotamon lichuanense
Lineage: Eukaryota; Metazoa; Arthropoda; Malacostraca; Decapoda; Potamidae
Description: tRNA-Cys
Rfam family: tRNA
About the family: Transfer RNA (tRNA) molecules are approximately 80 nucleotides in length. Their secondary structure includes four short double-helical elements and three loops (D, anti-codon, and T loops).
Source: RNAcentral
GGCUUUAUAGUAUAAAAAUACAUUGGAUUGCAAAUCUAAAAAUGUGGGAACACUGGGGCUU